RNAcentral lists this ribosomal RNA (864 nucleotides) under uncultured fungus. Its description in RNAcentral is "SSU rRNA". It matches the Rfam family "Eukaryotic small subunit ribosomal RNA", at positions 612 to 1507 of the family's 1831-position model. The record is from RNAcentral. Lineage: Eukaryota; Fungi.
GCUGUGGUUAAAAGCUCGUAGUUGAACCUUGGGCCUGGCUGGCCGGUCCGCCUCACCGCGUGCACUGGUCCGGCCGGGCCUUUCCCUCUGUGGAACCUCAUGCUCUUCACUGGGCGUGACGGGGAAACAGGACUUUUACUUUGAAAAAAUUAGAGUGCUCAAGGCAGGCCUAUGCUCGAAUACAUUAGCAUGGAAUAAUGAAAUAGGACGUGUGGUUCUAUUUUGUUGGUUUCUAGGACCGCCGUAAUGAUUAAUAGGGACAGUCGGGGGCAUCAGUAUUCAAUUGUCAGAGGUGAAAUUCUUGGAUUUAUUGAAGACUAACUACUGCGAAAGCAUUUGCCAAGGAUGUUUUCAUUAAUCAGGAACGAAAGUUAGGGGAUCGAAGACGAUCAGAUACCGUCGUAGUCUUAACCAUAAACUAUGCCGACUAGGGAUCGGACGAUGUUAUUUUUUGACUCGUUCGGCACCUUACGAGAAAUCAAAGUGCUUGGGCUCCAGGGGGAGUAUGGUCGCAAGGCUGAAACUUAAAGAAAUUGACGGAAGGGCACCACCAGGGGUGGAGCCUGCGGCUUAAUUUGACUCAACACGGGGAAACUCACCAGGUCCAGACACAGUGAGGAUUGACAGAUUGAGAGCUCUUUCUUGAUUCUGUGGGGUGGUGGUGCAUGGCCGUUCUUAGUUGGUGGAGUCAUCUGUCUGCUCAAUUGCGAUAACGAACGAGACCUUCACGUACUAACUAGCCCGUAUUGCUUUGGCAGUACGCUGGCUUCUUAGACGGACUAUCGGCUCAAGCCGAUGGAAGUUGGAGGCAAUAACAGGUCUGUGAUGCCCUUAGAUGUCUGGGCGCACGCGCGCUACACUGAC